AUCCUGGCUCAGGAUGAACGCUAGCUACAGGCUUAACACAUGCAAGUCGAGGGGCAGCACAGUGUAGCAAUACAGUGGGUGGCGACCGGCGCACGGGUGCGUAACGCGUAUCCAACCCUUCCCGUUACUCUUGGAUAGCCUUCCGAAAGGGAGAUUAAUACAAGAUGGUAUUCAAAUUCCGCAUGUUAUUUGAAUUAAAGAUUUAUCGGUAACGGAUGGGGAUGCGUGACAUUAGAUAGUAGGCGGGGUAACGGCUCACCAAGGCGACGAUCAGUAGCCGGUCUGAGAGGAUGAACGGCCACAUUGGAACUGAGAAACGGUCCAGACUCCUACGGGAGGCAGCAGUGAGGAAUAUUGGUCAAUGGUCGGAAGACUGAACCAGCCAAGUAGCGUGAAGGAUGAAGGUUCUAUGGAUUGUAAACUUCUUUUAUAUAGGAAUAAAACCUCCCACGUGUGGGAGCUUGUAUGUACUAUAUGAAUAAGCAUCGGCUAACUCCGUG
This 500-nucleotide ribosomal RNA is filed under the name uncultured bacterium. RNAcentral describes it as "bacterial SSU rRNA". It matches the Rfam family "Bacterial small subunit ribosomal RNA", at positions 16 to 507 of the family's 1533-position model. The record is from RNAcentral.